GCUCUUACCUGGACGGGGUCGACGGCUGAUCAAGAAGAGUCGUCGCCUAGGCUAGUGGUCCACAUUGCACUUGGUGGAUGAGCUAGCCUCUACCAUCUCUCCGAGUGGGAGAGUGAACGUCGUAAUUUGUGGUAGAGGGGGUACGCGUUCGCGCGGCCCCUG
RNAcentral lists this small nuclear RNA (162 nucleotides) under Triticum urartu. Its description in RNAcentral is "U1 spliceosomal RNA". It matches the Rfam family "U1 spliceosomal RNA". Rfam says of the family: U1 is a small nuclear RNA (snRNA) component of the spliceosome (involved in pre-mRNA splicing). The record is from Rfam by way of RNAcentral. Lineage: Eukaryota; Viridiplantae; Streptophyta; Magnoliopsida; Poales; Poaceae.